UAUGGCUGUCACGGAGCUGAGGGCUGACUUUAAGUGCAUUCUUGUAAUACUGAGGAAAAUGAGCACAUCUUACUAGACCUCAGAGAAUCCACUCGCACCAGCACUGCUAUGGAUACCAUAAUCAUAGGAAAAAACUUUACAGUUUGCAUGUAUUAAAAUCCAGCAUCUCCAUAUAAGAGAGAGAGAGAGGCUGAAGACUGCUCCGAUGCCCAGCAAGGGGCAGUGUGUGCCUGUCGGGAUCAUCUCACUGCCGCCAGUGCCGGUGCCUCCCACUGCUAUCAGCUCUGCCGGCAUGCCAAGGUGCAGACGGGACUUGCUGAGAGCUCUAAGUGCUGCCUGGCCCAGAGGGACGUGCCAGCGGGCAGAAUCGCCGUGCGGGGCCGCUGAUGGGACCUGACCCCGGGACAGCCCCGCUCAGCCCGUGCUGGAUGUGGGAGGGGGUGGGAGGAGGUGGGGGCUGCGGCCAGGGCUGGCUUCGACCCUCUCCUGGAGAAAGGCGAAGGAAACUUGGCCUCAGCCUUGCUCGUGUGCUAUUUUGGUUCAAGGUAAUAACAGGAACUGCGCUGUAAAUAAAAAUAGACAAGUGAAGAAUU
Oxyura jamaicensis (ruddy duck) is the source of this 593-nucleotide long non-coding RNA. RefSeq lists it as uncharacterized. NCBI's taxonomy places the organism in Eukaryota, Metazoa, Chordata, Aves, Anseriformes, Anatidae. The transcript has 2 exons. The record is from RefSeq and is a predicted model, not a curated record.